RNAcentral lists this ribosomal RNA (650 nucleotides) under Exophiala spinifera. RNAcentral describes it as "eukaryotic LSU rRNA". The stretch from base 221 to 375 matches the Rfam family "5.8S ribosomal RNA". Lineage: Eukaryota; Fungi; Ascomycota; Eurotiomycetes; Chaetothyriales; Herpotrichiellaceae. The record is from RNAcentral.
CGUAGGUGAACCUGCGGAGGGAUCAUUACCGAGUUAGGGUCCUCACAGGCCCGACCUCCCAACCCAUUGUUUAUGAUACUCAGUGUUGCUUCGGCAGGCCUGGUCUUUGACCUGCCGGAGGGCCGUAACACGCCCCCCGGAGAGCGCCUGCCGACGGCCCCAACUUCAAAAUUCUUAACUAAACAUGUCUUUGUCUAAGUACAGUCUUUAAUAAAAGCAAAACUUUCAACAACGGAUCUCUUGGUUCUGGCAUCGAUGAAGAACGCAGCGAAAUGCGAUAAGUAAUGCGAAUUGCAGAAUUCUCGUGAGUCAUCGAAUCUUUGAACGCACAUUGCGCCCUUUGGUAUUCCGAAGGGCAUGCCUGUUCGAGCGUCAUUUUCACCCCUCAAGCCCCCGGCUUGGUGUUGGACGGUUUGGUCCCGGGACCCCCCUGGACCCCUCCCAAAGACAAUGACGGCGGGCUGUCGCACCCCCGGUACACUGAGCAUCUUCACGGAGCACGUACCGGUCUCCAGGGUCGACGGCACCCGGUCUCACACCUAUAUCUUCAAGGUGACCUCGGAUCAGGUAGGAAUACCCGCUGAACUUAAGCAUAUCAAUAAGCGGAGGAAAAGAAACCAACAGGGAUUGCCUCAGUAACGGCGAGUGAA